Molecule: ribosomal RNA, 459 nt
Filed under: uncultured bacterium
Lineage: Bacteria
Description: partial 16S ribosomal RNA
Rfam family: Bacterial small subunit ribosomal RNA
Source: RNAcentral
CCUACGGGUGGCAGCAGUGAGGAAUAUUGGUCAAUGGUCGGGAGACUGAACCAGCCAAGCCGCGUGAGGGAUGAAGGUACAGAGUAUCGUAAACCUCUUUUGUCAGGGAACAAAGGCGGGGACGUGUCCCCGGAUGAGUGUACCUGAAGAAAAAGCAUCGGCUAACCCGGUGCCAGCACCCGCGGUAAUACGGAGGGUGCGAGCGUUAUCCGGAUUUAUUGGGUUUAAAGGGUGCGCAGGCGGUCUGUUAAGUCAGAGGUAAAAGCCCGGGGCUAAACCCGGGCCCGCCGUUGAAACUGGCAGUCUCGAGUUGGAGAGAGGUAGGCGGAAUGCGCGGUGUAGCGGUGAAAUGCAGAGAUAUCGCGCAGAACUCCGAUUGCGAAGGCAGCAUGCCGGCUCCACACUGACGCUGAGGCACGAAAGCGUGGGUAUCGAACAGGAUUAGAUACCCUAGUAGUC